AUGGUGAAGGGCUCCGGCAAUCCAGGGUUCGGACGGGGCGGCGGCGGCUCUGCCAAGCCCGCAGCACCCCGCGCUCCCCCGGCUCAGCUCGGCGCGGCUCAGCUCGGCGCGCCCGGAGCCCGUCCCCCGCCCCAGCCCGCCCGAGCCCCGCUCGCCGCCUGCCUGCCUGCCCCGUUCCUAGUGGGUUGCCUCGGUCCUGCGUGCCGUAUAUAUACACCCCCGCAGCAGGGCCGGGGAUCGCCCUCUAGUGUCCUGCUGGGAACCUCUGACCACCGCGCCCCGGGUCUUAGCGCCCCGGCCCGGCCAUCCGUCCUCCCCCGGGAGCUUCGCUCUCACCGAGCCCCGCGCUGGGCCCUGCGCUCCGCCCGCCCGCGGAGCCUCUGGGGGCUCGGAGACCGAAGCGCCCGGUCCCGUUCCACCGGGGAAGAGCCCCGAAGUUCACCAUCACGCGCGAACUCGCGGACGCUGGGCCGGAUGGGACGCCGUGCCGGCCCGCGGGGCCCAAGGCGCCGUCCCAGCGGAGCUACCGGAGCUCGGCCCGGUUCGACGCGCGGGGUUCAUCAGUUGAGUCCCGUGGGGACCCGCGGAGCGCGGCCCCGAGCGGCGCUAGGACCCGGCCGGGAGAGCGCCCGGCGGGGCGGGGCUGCGGGGCUCCUCGCUGCGGGACGGGGCCGGGGGCAGUGCCGGGCCGGGACGCGCUGCCGCUGCCCCGCGGCUUCCACCGUGCGCUGGCGGACGGGGGAUGAACGCGCGGGGCUGCCCCUCCGUCCCGUCCCGUCCCGUCCCGCGGCGCGAAUCGGGCAGGUAAAUUUAAUCACGGAUUUCCCCAAGUGCAAACACCGCAAUCUCGGGCUGUGUCGGGCGCGGACCGGCUCCCGGCGUUUACCCGAGAUAAGCCCCGGGAGUGCGGCAGCGUGCCGCUCGGAAGGCGAAACGCCGGGGCUCAGCUCCGAGUCCCCCCAGGGCAGCUCCGGGGAGAGCCGCGGCCCGAGGAGCCCGUGCUCCCCGCCCGGGACGGAUUGGGGGCACGGAACUGCCGCCUCCCCGCCCGGCCGUACCUGUCGGCCCCUAGAUCCGCUGGCCCCGGUUGCUCGGAAAGCAGCACAGGGGAUGGAAGGACGCACCGAGGCCGGUGAAGCAGGUGCAGACAGUGGCGAGAAGGAGAUCCGCAGAGAAAACCCCAAUAUAGCUAUGGCUACCGAAAGAAUUGCCACAUUUCUUAGUCCUGGGUGGCUGAAUGAACCAGAAGCUUGUGAUAUCAGAUUGCUUGCUCAGAAUUCCUUGCAAUUCAUAGUGACUGGCAAAGCCUUAGGAACAAAAUCACCACGAACCAAGAGCCACCUUUGGGGUCACACACGUGAGCCUCUGCUCCCCAUGCAGACACGAGGCCAGCAGCCAGCACAGCCUUCUGUGCUGAGCUGUCCUUACAGGAGAGCGUGUUUGGUGGGAAAUGUUCAUACAGAACACAGAACACGCAGAUUCUAUGCUUCUUUGAACAUACCUUUCACCUUUCAGUGUCAAUAG
Molecule: long non-coding RNA, 1524 nt
Filed under: Pavo cristatus (Indian peafowl)
Lineage: Eukaryota; Metazoa; Chordata; Aves; Galliformes; Phasianidae
Description: lncRNA (ENSPSTG00000000948.1)
Source: RNAcentral